Xylaria bambusicola is the source of this 105-nucleotide non-coding RNA. The record is from the annotation of a RefSeq genome assembly. NCBI's taxonomy places the organism in Eukaryota, Fungi, Ascomycota, Sordariomycetes, Xylariales, Xylariaceae.
GGGCUUGUGGUUUAGUGGUAUAAUACUCCCUUAGCAUUAAGAUGUCUUCUUCUGAAGAUACCGAGUAACUGGGAGUGGUCCGGGGUUCGAUUCCCCGCGAGUCCA